Long non-coding RNA from Cucumis sativus (cucumber), 388 nucleotides. RefSeq lists it as uncharacterized. The record is from RefSeq and is a predicted model, not a curated record. The transcript is spliced from 4 exons. Lineage: Eukaryota; Viridiplantae; Streptophyta; Magnoliopsida; Cucurbitales; Cucurbitaceae.
UUUUUCUGGAUGGAACGCAUUGGGUCAUGGGAGAACAACAAGAAAGCAGCUCUUGAGGCUGAACUAAAACAAAUUGAGACUAUCGGUUCCAAUUUGUAGGAACGGUGUAUUUAGGUACUUUAGAACCUCAACUACCUUCAAGUAGAUUGUACAUUGUAAGGAAAUCAUAGUAAGCCUUCAGAUGUAUGAUCAUAGAGAAUUGGCAAGCAUCCAAUAGAAAUGGAGCACGUCAGAUAAUAAAGGUAUAUAUCUUAUGAAGGCUAGCAACUCAAGAGGAUACCUCUAACAUAUAAAGAAGAUAAGAACAAUCUAACGAUAUAGUUAACAGGUUCAACUGGAGUCGACAACUUCAUGAGUUUACUUUCAAAGAACAUUUUCAGAGACAAAC